UACGAAGGUCCCAAGCGUUAUCCGGAUUUAUUGGGUUUAAAGGGUGCGUAGGUGGGCAAGUAAGUCAGUGGUGAAAUCUCCGGGCUUAACCCGGAAACUGCCAUUGAUACUAUUUGUCUUGAAUACUGUGGAGGUCAGCGGAAUAUGUCAUGUAGCGGUGAAAUGCUUAGAUAUGACAUAGAACACCAAUUGCGAAGGCAGCUAGCUACACAAAUAUUGACACUGAGGCACGAAAGCGUGGGGAUCAAACAGG
RNAcentral lists this ribosomal RNA (253 nucleotides) under uncultured bacterium. RNAcentral's name for it is "partial 16S ribosomal RNA". It matches the Rfam family "Bacterial small subunit ribosomal RNA", at positions 524 to 776 of the family's 1533-position model. The record is from RNAcentral.